CAUUAUGAGAGUUUGAUCCUGGCUCAGGACGAACGCUGGCGGCGUGCCUAAUACAUGCAAGUCGAACGCUUUUUCUUUCACCGGAGCUUGCUCCACCGAAAGAAAAAGAGUGGCGAACGGGUGAGUAACACGUGGGUAACCUGCCCAUCAGAAGGGGAUAACACUUGGAAACAGGUGCUAAUACCGUAUAACACUAUUUUCCGCAUGGAAGAAAGUUGAAAGGCGCUUUUGCGUCACUGAUGGAUGGACCCGCGGUGCAUUAGCUAGUUGGUGAGGUAACGGCUCACCAAGGCAACGAUGCAUAGCCGACCUGAGAGGGUGAUCGGCCACACUGGGACUGAGACACGGCCCAGACUCCUACGGGAGGCAGCAGUAGGGAAUCUUCGGCAAUGGACGAAAGUCUGACCGAGCAACGCCGCGUGAGUGAAGAAGGUUUUCGGAUCGUAAAACUCUGUUGUUAGAGAAGAACAAGGAUGAGAGUAAAA
RNAcentral lists this ribosomal RNA (485 nucleotides) under Enterococcus casseliflavus. RNAcentral describes it as "bacterial SSU rRNA". It matches the Rfam family "Bacterial small subunit ribosomal RNA", at positions 1 to 464 of the family's 1533-position model. Lineage: Bacteria; Bacillati; Bacillota; Bacilli; Lactobacillales; Enterococcaceae. The record is from RNAcentral.